This 63-nucleotide transfer RNA is filed under the name Crioceris asparagi (common asparagus beetle). RNAcentral describes it as "tRNA-Tyr". Lineage: Eukaryota; Metazoa; Arthropoda; Insecta; Coleoptera; Chrysomelidae. The record is from RNAcentral.
GGUGAAAUGGCUGAUAAAAGUAAUAAACUGUAAAUUUAUGCAUGAAUUAAAAUUCUUUCACCA